Molecule: ribosomal RNA, 745 nt
Filed under: uncultured Georgenia sp.
Lineage: Bacteria; Bacillati; Actinomycetota; Actinomycetes; Allobogoriellales; Allobogoriellaceae
Description: bacterial SSU rRNA
Rfam family: Bacterial small subunit ribosomal RNA
Source: RNAcentral
AGAGUUUGAUCCUGGCUCAGGACGAACGCUGGCGGCGUGCUUAACACAUGCAAGUCGAACGAUGAUGCCAGCUUGCUGGUGGAUUAGUGGCGAACGGGUGAGUAACACGUGAGCAACCUGCCCCUGACUUCGGGAUAACCGCGGGAAACCGUGGCUAAUACCGGAUAUGACGCGCUAUCGCAUGGUGGUGUGUGGAAAGAUUUAUCGGUUGGGGAUGGGCUCGCGGCCUAUCAGCUUGUUGGUGGGGUGAUGGCCUACCAAGGCGACGACGGGUAGCCGGCCUGAGAGGGUGACCGGCCACACUGGGACUGAGACACGGCCCAGACUCCUACGGGAGGCAGCAGUGGGGAAUAUUGCACAAUGGGCGCAAGCCUGAUGCAGCGACGCCGCGUGAGGGAUGACGGCCUUCGGGUUGUAAACCUCUUUCAGUAGGGAAGAAGGCCUUCGGGUUGACGGUACCUGCAGAAGAAGCGCCGGCUAACUACGUGCCAGCAGCCGCGGUAAUACGUAGGGCGCAAGCGUUGUCCGGAAUUAUUGGGCGUAAAGAGCUCGUAGGCGGUUUGUCGCGUCUGCUGUGAAAACGCGAGGCUUAACCUCGCGCCUGCAGUGGGGUACGGGCAGACUAGAGUGCGGUAGGGGGAGACUGGAUUUCCUGGGUGUAGCGGUGGGGAUGCGCAGAUAUCAGGAGGGAACACCGGGUGGCGAAAGGCGGGGUUCUCUGGGGCCCGUUUACUUGGACGCCCUG